UUACCGAGUUUACAACUCCCAAACCCAAUGUGAACGUUACCAAACUGUUGCCUCGGCGGGAUCUCUGCCCCGGGUGCGUCGCAGCCCCGGACCAAGGCGCCCGCCGGAGGACCAACCAAAACUCUUAUUGUAUACCCCCUCGCGGGUUUUUUUAUAAUCUGAGCCUUCUCGGCGCCUCUCGUAGGCGUUUCGAAAAUGAAUCAAAACUUUCAACAACGGAUCUCUUGGUUCUGGCAUCGAUGAAGAACGCAGCGAAAUGCGAUAAGUAAUGUGAAUUGCAGAAUUCAGUGAAUCAUCGAAUCUUUGAACGCACAUUGCGCCCGCCAGUAUUCUGGCGGGCAUGCCUGUCCGAGCGUCAUUUCAACCCUCGAACCCCUCCGGGGGGUCGGCGUUGGGGAUCGGCCCUGCCUCUUGGCGGCGGCCGUCUCCGAAAUACAGUGGCGGUCUCGCCGCAGCCUCUCCUGCGCAGUAGUUUGCACACUCGCAUCGGGAGCGCGGCGCGUCCACAGCCGUUAAACACCCAACUUCUGAAAUGUUGACCUCGGAUCAGGUAGGAAUACCCGCUGAACUUAAGCAUAUCAAUA
RNAcentral lists this ribosomal RNA (584 nucleotides) under Trichoderma sp. UASWS0366. RNAcentral's name for it is "eukaryotic LSU rRNA". The stretch from base 205 to 358 matches the Rfam family "5.8S ribosomal RNA". The record is from RNAcentral. Lineage: Eukaryota; Fungi; Ascomycota; Sordariomycetes; Hypocreales; Hypocreaceae.